UUCCUACGGGGGGCAGCAGUGGGGAAUAUUGCACAAUGGGGGAAACCCUGAUGCAGCGAUGCCGCGUGGAGGAAGAAGGUUUUCGGAUUGUAAACUCCUUUUAUCAGGGACGAUAAUGACGGUACCCUUGGAGGAAGCACCGGCUAACUACGUGCCAGCAGCCGCGGUAAAACGUAGGGUGCAAGCGUUGUCCGGAAUUACUGGGUGUAAAGGGAGCGCAGGCGGACUGUCAAGUUGGGAGUGAAAACUACGGGCUCAACCCGUAACUUGCUUUCAAAACUGGCGGUCUUGAGUGGUGUAGAGGG
RNAcentral lists this ribosomal RNA (305 nucleotides) under uncultured bacterium. Its description in RNAcentral is "bacterial SSU rRNA". It matches the Rfam family "Bacterial small subunit ribosomal RNA", at positions 336 to 658 of the family's 1533-position model. The record is from RNAcentral.